RNAcentral lists this ribosomal RNA (207 nucleotides) under uncultured bacterium. Its description in RNAcentral is "partial 16S ribosomal RNA". It matches the Rfam family "Bacterial small subunit ribosomal RNA", at positions 568 to 774 of the family's 1533-position model. The record is from RNAcentral.
CGUGCAGGCGGCAUGAUAAGUUGGAUGUGAAAUCUCCUGGCUCAACUGGGAGGGGACGUUCAAUACUGUCAAGCUAGAGGACGGCAGAGGGAGGUGGAAUUCCCGGUGUAGUGGUGAAAUGCGUAGAUAUCGGGAGGAACACCAGUGGCGAAAGCGGCCUUCUGGGCCGAUCCUGACGCUCAGACGCGAAAGCUAGGGGAGCGAACG